RNAcentral lists this ribosomal RNA (207 nucleotides) under uncultured bacterium. RNAcentral describes it as "partial 16S ribosomal RNA". It matches the Rfam family "Bacterial small subunit ribosomal RNA", at positions 568 to 774 of the family's 1533-position model. The record is from RNAcentral.
CACGCAGGUGGCUGAGUCAGUCGAUUGUGAAAGCCCUCGGCUUAACCGAGGAACGACGCAUGAAACUGGCAAGCUAGAGUACCAAAGAGGGGGGUGGAAUUCCCGGUGUAGCGGCGAAAUGCGUAGAUAUCGGGAGGAACACCGGUGGCGAAGGCGGCCCCCUGGUUGGAUACUGACGCUGAGACGCGAAAGCGUGGGGAGCAAACA